RNAcentral lists this ribosomal RNA (483 nucleotides) under uncultured bacterium. Its description in RNAcentral is "partial 16S ribosomal RNA". It matches the Rfam family "Bacterial small subunit ribosomal RNA", at positions 28 to 507 of the family's 1533-position model. The record is from RNAcentral.
GACGAACGCUGGCGGCGUGCUUAACACAUGCAAGUCGAACGCUGAAGCUCAGCUUUUGUUGGGUGGAUGAGUGGCGAACGGGUGAGUAACACGUGAGUAACCUGCCCCCUUCUUUGGGAUAACGCCCGGAAACGGGUGCUAAUACUGGAUAUUCACUGGUCUUCGCAUGGGGGUUGGUGGAAAGGGCUUUUCUGGUGGGGGAUGGGCUCGCGGCCUAUCAGCUUGUUGGGGGGGUGAUGGCCUACCAAGGCGUUGACGGGUGGGCGGCCGGAGAGGGUGCCCGGUAACAUUGGGGGCGAGAUUGGGCCCAGACUACUACGGGGGGCAGUAGGGGAGAAUAUUGCACAAUAGGCGCCAGCAUGGGGCGGCGCCGGAGGGUGAGGGAUGGCGGCCUUGGGGUUGUGAUUCUGUUUGGCUCAUGGUCACGCCGCAAAAAUGGUUGUGGUGACGGUAGUGGGUAAAGAAGCGCCGGCUAACUACGUG